This 450-nucleotide ribosomal RNA is filed under the name uncultured bacterium. RNAcentral's name for it is "bacterial SSU rRNA". It matches the Rfam family "Bacterial small subunit ribosomal RNA", at positions 354 to 796 of the family's 1533-position model. The record is from RNAcentral.
GUGGGGAAUAUUGGACAAUGGGCGAAAGCCUGAUCCAGCCAUGCCGCGUGUGUGAAGAAGGUCUUCGGAUUGUAAAGCACUUUAAGUUGGGAGGAAGGGCAGUAAGUUAAUACCUUGCUGUUUUGACGUUACCGACAGAAUAAGCACCGGCUAACUUCGUGCCAGCAGCCGCGGUAAUACGAAGGGUGCAAGCGUUAAUCGGAAUUACUGGGCGUAAAGCGCGCGUAGGUGGUUUUGUAAGUUGGAGGUGAAAUCCCCGGGCUCAACCUGGGAGCUGCCUCCAAAACUGCAUGACUAGAGUACGGUAGAGGGUAGUGGAAUUUCCUGUGUAGCGGUGAAAUGCGUAGAUAUAGGAAGGAACACCAGUGGCGAAGGCGACUACCUGGACUGAUACUGACACUGAGGUGCGAAAGCGUGGGGAGCAAACAGGAUUAGAUACCCCGGUAGUCC